This 253-nucleotide ribosomal RNA is filed under the name uncultured bacterium. Its description in RNAcentral is "partial 16S ribosomal RNA". It matches the Rfam family "Bacterial small subunit ribosomal RNA", at positions 524 to 776 of the family's 1533-position model. The record is from RNAcentral.
UACGUAGGGGGCAAGCGUUGUCCGGAUUUAUUGGGCGUAAAGAGCGUGUAGGCGGCUAGGUAGGUCCGUUGUGAAAACUCGAGGCUCAACCUCGAGACGCCGGUGGAAACCAUCUAGCUAGAGUCCGGAAGAGGAGAGUGGAAUUCCUGGUGUAGCGGUGAAAUGCGCAGAUAUCAGGAGGAACACCAAUUGCGAAGGCAGCUCGCUGGGACGUUACUGACGCUGAGACGCGAAAGCGUGGGGAGCAAACAGG